GGAAUGACUGAGUGGGGAGAGGGAUUCCUAAGAACAUCUUGCUUCCAGGUGCCCCUGUGAGUAACCUGUCCUGUCCACUGCCCCUCCGCCUGUACCCAGUCCCAUAAGGGGAGAAAAGUGGAUUCUGCAAGGAGGCAUAGUGGUAGCUGGAGGAAAGCAGAUUGAGAGAGUCUAAAGCAUUAGAUCAAUCUGCUCCUAUCAGAUGGCUACAGAUAUCCUGCUUCUACAAAUGAGAAAACUGAAGCUCAGGAAAGGGAAAUGACUUGCCUCCGUGUGUGUAACUGGUCGGACCUGGUCUGUCUGGUUUCCAGACCCAAUUCAGAAAACACCACACUUCAACAAAGUCUGAAAGCUCGUAACGAAGAAGCUAUAGAGCUGUGAUCUGGAAUCUGAGAAGGAUGAACCCACGACCUUCAGGGAAGUGGCCAGGAAGCCGCGAGUUUAAGGGAACCAAACAGCAGUUUGAAGAAUCUCCCUUCAAUUCUCAGUUUACUGAGAGUUUUUAAUCAUGAUGAGGUGUUGGAUUUUGUCAAAUGCUUUUCCUGCAUCAGUUGAUAAGUUCAGAUAUCUGGAUGGAAAGGAGCUACCUCUGAACCUGAUGAAGAAGCAACAGGGAACCACUCAGUUACCUGGACUUCAAGCUGAACGUGGGUGAAUAUCUGUCUCCUGGAAUAGAUGACAGCGGGUUCUUCUGGGAGAAUGCAUUAGGGAGGUUGAAGUCUGAGCUCCUUAGCAUGAUGUGAUGGACCGACCUAGCAUGAUCUGACUUCUGCUGAUGGCUCCAACUUCACCCCCAACCCAGACCAACUAAAAGGUCAUAAGAGAGGUCUCCGUUAAGCUGAUACAAGAAGAAGAAGAAGAGAGAGGAAUUUAUUAAUGGACUCAUCCCAGAAGGGUCGUAUAUAACUUCCAUUCACAUCUCAUCGAGCCCAACAGUCACUGGGCCACACCUGGAUUUAAAGGAACAGGAGGAGUCAUGGUCUAGGCGUAGGUUAGAGAAAAAGGGGAGGUCACAUAUGUUGGUGAACCUUGGGGUCUCCAGCAUGGUAGAGUACAUGUAGGGGUGGGGGAGCUUUUGGUCAUUGUUCUUCCAUCCAUUCCUUUGAUGCAGGAUUUCUCUAUGUGGGCACUACUGACACCUCGGGCUGGACAAUUCUUUGUUACACAGGGAUGUCCUGUGUGUUGUAGGAUGUUUCCCAGCUUUUCGGGUCUCUACCUUCUAGAUGUCAGUAACCCCCUCCACCCCCUCCAAUCAUGUCAAUUAAAAAUAUCUCCAAAUAUUUCCAUGUGUUAUGUGGGGGAGGGGGGUGUCCCUAGUUUGAUGUGCUGUUUCUUUACUGAGUGUUUCCUGAAGGCGGUGAAAUAUCUCUUAUUUGCUAAAGUGGUAAUGUCACAGAAUUCUUGAUUCAAAGAUAUCAGGAAUUUAUAUUUUUCCUGAUUCUUUAUUCACAGCAGUACCCCUAGUAUCACACUAGUGAGAAACCAAUGGAAGAAACCAGAUCUUAUCUUAAUUUUUAGCCCAUUUAUAUGCCUGCACAUAAUAUUUAUCUCUUUGCUCAUCUCCCUGGAUCUCUUAUGAUCAAUAAUAUGCCUGUAGAUUAAUUUCUGUUUUUAAUCCUUGUUCGGUCAUCUUACUCUGGAAUACUGAAUCUACUUUCCCACAACCUUUGAAUCUGUAGGCCUAGACUGAGUUUCAGCCUUUCUUCUCUUUUUGACAGGGAACAAGAAUCAUACAAGAACCAAAAGGAUCAUAUACCAGAAAUAUCAAAAAUUGACUCUCGUGCUGUAGUGACCACAACCUGCACUCCUGCUGACAUCAUUAAUGAAUCAGAAUACUCUCCUCCUGAGCCUGGAGCCCACCUCAGAAUCCAGGAAGCAACUGAGGCAGUUGAUAGAUUGAACAGGAUUGUAAAAAGAGAUUCAAAUUAUUUGGUCUCCAAGCUCUGGUCAUUUUUAGAGCUACAGAAACUGAAAACCAGGUGAUGAAAAGGAGUGCCCAGGCCACCUGGAGUUUUGGUCUUCUGACCUCGUGUUUCUUCGCCUGUCCCUCAUUUAUGAAUCAAGGAGGCUUGUCCAAGCCCAGUGACUUGCUUGGAAGUAGAGCCUUGAAAAGUGUGCUAAAAAUAAGAGUAUUGCUUAGAAUGGUGGGGGUGAACUUGAGUUUAACCAGAUUCUCUUUUCUUUGCUUUUUGAGCAACAAAGAAUACUCCUGUGUGUUGCACAGAGAUUGGAGAGGCUAUAAUAAUCCCUGCCACCAUGACUUUUAAGAGAUCAAAGAAAAUUCUGAGUGGUACCUAAAUGUCCAAAUUUAAAAUUCAAGAAAAAAAUAAGCAGCAGCACAUAAAAACUUUUCUGCAGCAGCCUGCAGGAAGGGUAAAUAUGGCAUGUAUAUUUGAAUGAAAGAAUUUGAGAUUCAGUCUUAGCCAGCCUUUUUAGGAAAAAAAAAAAUUCAGGGUCUGAUGGGAAAUAAAAAGCUGUUUAUGUUUUAUCGUUUGUAUACAAUAAAAUACACUGG
RNAcentral lists this long non-coding RNA (2515 nucleotides) under Sus scrofa (pig). Its description in RNAcentral is "lncRNA (ENSSSCG00005044233.1)". Lineage: Eukaryota; Metazoa; Chordata; Mammalia; Artiodactyla; Suidae. The record is from RNAcentral.